Non-coding RNA from Megalops atlanticus (tarpon), 70 nucleotides. Lineage: Eukaryota; Metazoa; Chordata; Actinopteri; Elopiformes; Megalopidae. The record is from the annotation of a GenBank genome assembly.
AGCAAGGUGGCUCAGUGGUUAGCACUGUCGCCUCACAGCAAGGUCCUGGGUUCGAAUCCCGGCUGUCCCA